UGCCAAUGGCACUGCCCGGUAGCUAAAUGCGGAAGAGAUAAGUGCUGAAAGCAUCUAAGCACGAAACUUGCCCCGAGAUGAGUUCUCCCUGACCCUUUAAGGGUCCUGAAGGAACGUUGAAGACGACGACGUUGAUAGGCCGGGUGUGUAAGCGCAGCGAUGCGUUGAGCUAACCGGUACUAAUGAACCGUGAGGCUUAACCUUACAACGCCGAAGCUGUU
This 221-nucleotide ribosomal RNA is filed under the name Escherichia coli. RNAcentral describes it as "partial 23S ribosomal RNA". It matches the Rfam family "Bacterial large subunit ribosomal RNA", at positions 2727 to 2925 of the family's 2925-position model. Lineage: Bacteria; Pseudomonadati; Pseudomonadota; Gammaproteobacteria; Enterobacterales; Enterobacteriaceae. The record is from RNAcentral.